Molecule: long non-coding RNA, 348 nt
Organism: Ailuropoda melanoleuca (giant panda)
Lineage: Eukaryota; Metazoa; Chordata; Mammalia; Carnivora; Ursidae
Exons: 3
Source: RefSeq, a predicted model, not a curated record
CUGGUCCAGGACCCUUGGGACCAAACAAUUGCUCGCCCAGGCUUCCCUAGAAUCCUCUUCCCUUUCACCUCCACCCUGUACCUCGACCUCCAAGGUGAGCUGUCGCACAGAACACAGAACGAGGAAAGCGCUGGAUUUGGGAUGGACAAGCUGAGCCCACCAACCUGGCCCCAGGUUGGUCUCUUCCGGGCUGCUGGAUACCCACAGCACUGUACCUCAUGCAACAGACAGAAUGAGACAAGAGAAAUUCCACGUGAUUGUAAAUGACUUUUACGCUGCAGGCAUGACAGUAAAAGAACAAGACUUUUUUUUUUUUUAAGAAUUUCCUUUUUAUCUUAAAAGUCAUUU